Molecule: long non-coding RNA, 284 nt
Organism: Gossypium raimondii (Peruvian cotton)
Lineage: Eukaryota; Viridiplantae; Streptophyta; Magnoliopsida; Malvales; Malvaceae
Exons: 3
Source: RefSeq, a predicted model, not a curated record
CCCAAACCCAUUCAAUUUGCGCCAUCUGAAAAAUCGCCGUUGUCUUUGUCCAGGCCGACCACCUGCUGCGCAAACAUCAGAAGCUCGAGCAUCUCCGUCACCGUCGGACUACUACGGCCGUCGUCAUCGCCGUCUGCUUCGAAAUUGAGGAAAUUUGAGAUAAAAUGUCUAGACGAAAAGUGCGAGAGCUAAGCAUUCUUCAAGGGACUCCAAACUCGGCGGAAACAAACAACACUGAACAACAGACUGCUAUUGGAUCUUCGAAUGUUCCGAUUACACCAGAG